This 447-nucleotide ribosomal RNA is filed under the name uncultured bacterium. RNAcentral describes it as "partial 16S ribosomal RNA". It matches the Rfam family "Bacterial small subunit ribosomal RNA", at positions 29 to 523 of the family's 1533-position model. The record is from RNAcentral.
AACGAACGCUGGCGGCAGGCUUAACACAUGCAAGUCGAACGCCCCGCAAGGGGAGUGGCAGACGGGUGAGUAACGCGUGGGAACGUACCUUUCAGUUCGGAAUAACUCAGGGAAACUUGUGCUAAUACCGGAUACGCCCGCCAGGGGAAAGAUUUAUCGCUGAAAGAUCGGCCCGCGUUGGAUUAGCUAGUUGGUGGGGUAAAGGCCUACCAAGGCGACGAUCCAUAGCUGGUCUGAGAGGAUGAUCAGCCACACUUGGACUGAGACACGGCCCAGACUCCUACGGGAGGCAGCAGUGGGGAAUAUUGGACAAUGGGCGAAAGCCUGAUCCAGCCAUGCCGCGUGUGUGAUGAAGGCCUUAGGGUUGUAAAGCACUUUCACCGAUGAAGAUAAUGACGGUAGUCGGAGAAGAAGCCCCGGCUAACUUCGUGCCAGCAGCCGCAGUAA